RNAcentral lists this long non-coding RNA (1159 nucleotides) under Homo sapiens (human). RNAcentral describes it as "HSALNT0048248". Lineage: Eukaryota; Metazoa; Chordata; Mammalia; Primates; Hominidae. The record is from RNAcentral.
GACAACAUCUGAAAAUUCUGCCUGAUAGAUAGAGAGAAGCAUCCUGGCAAGAGACACGGAGCUGACAGACGAAGAGAUGCACGUCUGACAGAAUUGGGACUAUUCACCCAAAGUGAGACAAAGUGAAAUGCCAAGCACAUUGAGAAUCUCUUCCUUCUUACUGUCAACGGAUUCACCUAAUCAAAGCACUUUUAGUCACUGCAUCCAAUUUCCAUCCUCAUCCAACACAUGGUCUGGGAAUUCAGCCAAAAAUUCCUGAAGGAUGAAUUCCUUUUCCUCGGUGAGGUUGACAUUUGAGCACACAUCGCCCUCUUGUGUCUACGACACAUUUGGCAACGUAGUUUCCAGCACCUGCUAAUGCACACAGCAAAUUGAAGCCUUGUUAACAUCCCUUAAGCCUGCAGACCUCGGUACAAGGCGGAGGGAGAACAAACGCACCAAUUUUCCCAGAAUAGUCAAGAACAUCCAGAAGAAUCCAGAAUUUGUGAAGAUGGUACUGGUGGACCUUACCUUCCGAAAACUGCUAUCAGGGCCUCUGCAGGAGGCCCUGGCUGUGAUAAAUGUGCAUCUGUAGAGUGCACAACCUGAACAUCCUUACCAAGCAGCCCUGACCAAUAUCUUCCUGCCUAAAGAGUGCCAAUGCUGAGAGUAUGCCUUUAAAACCCCAUUUUGGCCAUUUCUCAAGAAGUAAGUGAGACUUGUACUUCCCUAUCUCCCCUUAAGGGGAGUCCCCAGUGCAUUAGUGGUAGAGCUCUCCCUAAGGACUUUUGUGUGCGUCUCCACCCUCUGUUCUUCUAGGUGCAUCCUGUUUUUAAUGGGGCAUAAUCUCUUACCUCAAAAGAGCAAAGCUCCACUGGCAAACCUCUAGACCACAUUAGUGAUCAGCAAGUAAGGGGGACAUUUGGUGCAGCAUCACAUUUCUGACAUCCCUUCAUGCUUUUUAUGUCUGACUCUGUCAUCUCUGCUAAAAGAAGCCUCUCUUUUUAUUUCCUUUUUUUCUUCUAGUUUUUUUUUUUGUUUUUUUUUUUUUUUUGUAGACAGGGCCUAGUGGUCUUCCUAGGCUGGUCUCAAACUUCUGGACUCAAGGGAUAUUCCCACCUCAGCCUCCCAAACUGUUGGGAUUACAGGCGUGAGCCAUUGGGCCCGGUCCUCUUUUUUU